AACUUCUCUUUGAAAGCACCCUGCUAAAACUGCAGGAGCCGAGCCUCACAGGUUCAGCUCAUGUGGCCAUGUAAGCAUGGGUACACUGGGGAAGGAGAUUAAAUGCACAGUAUUGGAAAUGAGACUGGAAGGGACCUCUUUCUUAAUGUCUUGUCUUCAUUUGUCUCAAGAUCCUGUGUUACACAC
Molecule: small nucleolar RNA, 186 nt
Organism: Nematolebias whitei (Rio pearlfish)
Lineage: Eukaryota; Metazoa; Chordata; Actinopteri; Cyprinodontiformes; Rivulidae
Product: small nucleolar RNA SNORA81
Exons: 1
Source: RefSeq, a predicted model, not a curated record